GUGAAAGUUAAAUAUUAAAAAAAUAUAUAUUUCGAAUUUCGCGCCCUGCACUUGAGCUGGAUGUUGUCAUAAGUGUACCGGUGUCGGGCUGCACCCCAAACAGGUUAAGAAAGGCAUUGAUGUUUAUGGUUAGGUACACAUUGGUGCAACGACAGUGCUUUUUUCACAAAUGCACUUGUUAAAUCACCUGUUUGGCAAAGUAGGCUAUGAUUCAAUGAUAAAUUAACAGGCACCGCAUCGAUUAUAUGCAACGUAGGACAAGCUAGAUAAACUAGUAAUAUCAUCAACCAUGUGUAGGCAAACAGUGAUUAUGUUAAGAUUGAUUGUUUUUUAUAAGUUUAAUGCUAGCUAGCACCUUGUCUCCUUGCUGCACUCGCAUAACAGGUAGUCAGCCUGCCACGCAGUCUCCUCGUGGAGUGCAAUGUAAUCGGCCAUGAUCGGUGUCCAAAAAUGCCGAUUGUUAUGAAAACUUGAAAUCGGUCGACCUCUAAUCCAUAGCUCUACGAAUUUGAGAGUGGGUAAAUUUCUCCAGAUCUAUCCCUCAGCUUUUUACCGAAACGGGGCGAGGAAUAUACUUCAUGUUUCUACUGCCGAUUGCCUCUUUCAAAGUGCAAUUUAGGGAGAUUGGCUAAUCUGUGUGUGUGUGUGUGUAAAACUGCUACUUUAUGUUUCAGAACAUGUACAUAACUUGUGGUUACGGGAACCCCUUCCAACUUACAUCCUGCAUGAACUUGCGGCAGACAGGGCGGAUCUCUUUGCUUAGGGUGGCACUGAACAUCAUGCACUGCUUCUCAUGGGGUGUGAGCCUGAAGAUGUCCUGAACAUCACGCCUCAUGUCUGAGGGAGAGACGAUAGGAAAAUAAUAUGUCAGUCACAAAAAUGUCAACCCACUCAGUCUGAAAUCCAAGUACUACAUAAAAUAACAUUUAAAUACACUUUACUACGUUUUGGCUAAAUCCUUACUUAAGUCAGACCAUCUAUCACAAUCUGUUCCAAGAUCCAAUACUACUUAGUAUGAAAGUGUAUUAGAAGUGCAUUCUAGGGGCCUCCCGGGUGGCGCAGUGGUCUAGAGCACUGCAUCGCAGUGCUAGCUGCGCCACCAGUCUCUGGGUUCGCGCCCAGGCUCUGUCGCAGCCGGCCGCGACCGGGAGGUCCGUGGGGCGACGCACAAUUGGGCUAGCGUCGUCCAGGUUAGGGAGGGUUUGGCCGGUAGGGAUAUCCUUGUCUCAUCGCGCUCCAGCGACUCCUGUGGCGGGCCGGGCGCAGUGGCGCUAACCAAGGGGGCCAGGUGCACAGUGUUUCCUCCGACACAUUGGUGUGGCUGGCUUCCGGGUUGGAGGCGCGCUGUGUUAAGAAGCAGUGCGGCUUGGUUGGGUUGUGCUUCGGAGGACGCGUGGCUUUCGACCUUCGUCUCUCCCGAGCCCGUACCGGAGUUGUAGCGAUGAGACAAGAUAGUAAUUACUAGCGAUUGGAUACGACGAAAAUUGGGGAGAAAAGGGGAUAAAAUGUAUUAAAAAAAUAUAUAUAUAAAAAAGUGCAUUCUAAGUUGUAUGCUAGUAGGUACAUUGAACAGGUUUUCAAUUAACCGUUCAUCUUUGAAGUUUCAACUUACUCCCGUCACCCCCCCCCCCCCCCCCCCCCCCUUGGUUUGUGCUGUGGUGGAGACCUUUGUGGGCUAUACUCGGCCUUGUCUCAGGAUUGUAAAUUGGUGUUUGAAGAUAUCCCUCUAGUGGUGCGGGGGCUGUGCUUUGGCAAAGUGGCUGGGGUUAUAUCCUUCCUGUUUGGCCCUGUCCGGGGGUUUCUUCGGAUGGGGCCACAGUGUCUCCUGAUCGCUCCUGUCUCAGCCUCCAGUAUUUAUGCUGCAGUAGUUUGUGUCGGGGGGCUAGGGUCAGUUGGUUAUGCCUGGAGUACUUCUCCUGUCUUAUCCAGCGUCCUGUGUGAAUUUAAGUAUGCUCUCUCUAAUUCUCUCGUUCUCUCUUUCUUUCUCUCUCUCUGAGAACCUGAGCCCUAGGACCAUACGUCAGGACUACCGGGCAUGAUGACUCCUUGCUGUCCCCAGUCCGCCUGGCCUUGCUGCUAUUCCAGUUUCAACUGUUCUGCCUGAGGUUGCGGAACCCCUACCUGUCCCAGACCUGCUGUUUUCAACUCUUAAUGAUCGGCUAUGAAAAGCCAACUGAGAUUUAUUCCUGAUUAUUAUUUGACCAUGCUUGUCAUUUAUGAACAUUUUGAAAAUCUUGGCUCUCUCUAAUUUUCUCCUUCUCUCUUUCUUUCUCUCGGAGGACCUGAGCCCUAGGACCAUACGUCGGGACUACCGGCCGUGGUGACUCCUUGCUGUCCCCAGUCCGCCUGGCCUUGCUGCUAUUCCAGUUUCAACUAUUCUGCCUGCGGUUAUGGAACCGCCACCUGUCCCAGACCUGUUGUUUUUCAACUCUUAAUGAUCGGCUAUGAAAAGCCAACUGAAAAUUAUUCAUGAUUAUUAUUUGACCAUGCUUGUCACUUAUGAACAUUUUUGAACAUCUUGGCAUAGUUCUGUUAUAAUCUCCACCCGGCACAGCCAGAAGAGGACUGGCCACCCCUCAUAGCCUGGUUCCUCUCUAGGUUUCUUCCUAGGUUUUGGCCUUUCUAGGGAGUUUUUCCUAGCCACCGUGCUUCUACACCUGCAUUACUAGCUGUUUGGGGUUUUAGGCUGGGUUUCUGUACAGCACUUCGAGAUAUUAGCUGAUGUACGAAGGGCUAUAUAAAAUAAACUUGAUUGAUUGAUUGACUAUCACUGCUAGCUAGGUUCACAGGGGCAGUACUCAAGUCCGGAAGCACUGUGCUCGUGUCGUCGUGGCCACUAUUGGUUAAUUUAAAAGGCAAUCUCCCCAAACCGGUCUGAAAACGAACCAAGCCUAUUCAAAUGCCGAUCUUGAAAAUGACAGCAAAUAAGGUGGGAUUUCACCAGCUACCCUUAACUUAAUUGUGGGCAUCAUUUCUUGUUUGACAACACUGUUAUGAAAAAAGUACACCGAGAUAGCCUUAUUCAGCAAUAAUGUAAACAUUUCUGAUUGCUGUAAAUUAUAGCUACGUAUGACUAGGUUUCCUAACCCAGGAAUGAUUUCUGAAUUUAGAUUCGAAUCGAUUAGAUUAAUUUAUUAGUCACAUACAUAGGGUCGCAGAUGUAAUUGCAGGGUACAGUGAAAUUCUUAAGAUCUGAACUCCAACAGUGCAGGUCAAAAAGAUAAGUGAAUGAAACAAUAUUAAUAUGAAUAAUUAUAUACACCAUAUAUACAUAUUUAUUUACAACAUUUACAAACCAACAGCCUGCAUUCAUCCAGUUUGUAUAAAUUAUGAUAGAAGUGUGAAAUGACUGUAAUGAGUAUCUUGGACUAAUAGGCAGUUGGCUUAAACCAUUUAUUCAUAAUUGGCAAUAUGUGGGCCUGCCUUGAUCCAAUCAGCUUACCACAUCUGUCUUCCCUCACCAAACCCAUCAAUGAUUUGAUUUAUUUGACCAUAAUUUGGUUGGUCCAUUUUAUUGACACUAAAUAGAUGUUAUUUUAACCGUAGCUGUUAAAAGUCCAACAGUGGGAGUGUGCAGACUGAUGAUGGCGCGACUUUAAUUCCUGACUAUUUCAGUUAUGGCCAACAGAGGGCAACAUUUAUCCAUAAAAUACGAUUAAACCUCACUGAACCAAAGUGAAUUAGGUUACAUUGUAAACUUUAUAGAGAUUUCGUAUGUGAUUAGAAACAAUGCCUUAAUUUCCCAGAGUGGUCGCUCUGUGCUAUUGUAGUUGACGUAAUCAUGUACAAUGGCAUGACGUAAUAUAUGAGCCUAUGACGUAAACGCACUCGAGGGAAGGUUCAGUGCCUACUUCUGGCUCAGUUGAGUUGAUGAUUUGCAAAGGACAGUCAUCCUCAUGUUCAAAUAAAUCACUUUGAGUGGACAAAGACGACAUUCUGUGAGUACAGCAAAACGGGCCAAGAUUUUGUAAUUAAAAAAAAAAAAAAAGUAUUUUAAAAUGUAUUUGUUUAUAAAAAGAAAUGUCAGGUCCAAUCUGAAGGGUGCCUGAAAACACAAUGGAUAGAAAUCAUAAACGGUUGAGAAAAAUUCUUCAAAAGGCUGGGACCCUCCAAGCUAGUGCUGGAGAGCAGGUGCUCCAGACAGACGUCCAUUCCGCUGGCCAUGAUGGACUAAGGCUGCCAGCCCUGGGAGACUGCCCCAAGGACCGCCCCCUAAAGGCUGGGACCCUCCAAGCUAGUUUUGGAGAGCAGGUGCUCCAGACAGACAUCCAUUCCGCUGGCCAUGAUGGACUAAGGCUGCCAGCCCUGGGAGACUGCCCCAAGGACCGCCCCCUAAAGGCUGGGACCUUCCAAGCUAGUGCUGGAGAGCAGGUGCUCCAGACAGACGUCCAUUCCGCUGGCCAUGAUGGACUAAGGCUGCCAGCCCUGUUAGACUGCCUCAAGGACAGCCCCCUAAAGGCUGGGACCCUCCAAGCUAGUUUUGGAGAGCAGGUGCUCCAGACAGACGUCCAUUCUGCUGGCCAUGAUGGACUAAGGCUGCCAGCCCUGGGAGACUGCCCCAAGGACAGCCCUCUAAAGAACCUUGUGCCGAAGCCCCCACAAGGCCCCAGGCCCAGCCGAGAGGCUAUCAAGGCUAGAAGGGCUAGGGAGGCUAAGUCAGGGGUGGUAAACCUAAGCCGCCAAGUAGUUGGUGUGUUGGCACUGCCUCAAACGCUUCUAUCUCAAACAACCAGUAGCAGUGUCCUGCCAGCUAUCAAGAAGGGCACUAAAGUUACUAAAAUGGAGACAACAGAAACCCCAGGUCCCCUGACACCUAAUGAUGGGGAGAUAAUGAUCUCCUUUCCAUCUGUUGAUGACCUCCUGACCCCAAAGAGUGAUGUCACGUCCGAGGCUAAGAGCGAUGAUGCCUCCUGUCCAAUUUCACCUGAGGCGUUCUCUCUAACAAACUUCCUGAAGUCUCACCCUCAGAGAAAGCUUAUCAGGAAGUUCCUCAAACAAAUGAACGUGACAAUAGGCGACCUGGACGAAGUCAUCGAGUGGGUGGUGUGUGUCUCCAGUGAGGUGUUCCUCCCAGUGAUGGCUCUGCACAGGACCUCCAGACCAGAGUCGUCAGACUCAUUCCGCUGGGGGUCAGGUGUGCUCCAGAUCAUCUCUGAAAAGUUCCACCAGCGGAGUUCUGAGCCGAAGGGAAGGCUCCUGGGCGGGCAGCCGCCCACUCCCCCUUCUGAGACCGACAAGGAGCUUCAGGGCAUAGCAGAUCUGUCUGUGAGUAACAUCCUGAAAAGGGCCCAGGAGGACCUCUUCUCUUCUGGUGAGGAUGACCUGGAGAACACCCAUCCAGGCAUCACUCUGACCGAAGAGAAGCUCUCCAGCAUCUUCUCAGAGCUGUUCAGGGGCGCAUGUGAGAGUGCCCAGGAGGCCGCCGGACGCAUCUACCACAUUAGGUCUGGAAGAGGCAACAACAGCCGAAAUGGGAGACGCCCUGGGUCACCAACAGAGUUGGGAGAACUGGGGUCAGUGAGGAGUCCCAAGGGAAGUGACGUCCAUAAAGUCCUUAGCGAGGGGUCCCUCCCUGUCUUUGCCCUGUUUGGGGAGAGGCCAGGGGAAGUUGGGGAGACCAGCAGCCCUGCUGGGGAGAUGGACGAGACCCAGACUGCCAGCACUCCCAGCAUUCCCCGGUCUGGGCAUGGCGGCAGAAGUUGUAGCCAGACCACCAUUCCCACCACCGGCCACAGAGAGGCAGGAGUCACAGCCAGUAACAUCUUUGAUGUUAUUGUUCAUCUGGCGCACUCCGACACUGACCGGGAACUCCACCAGGAGUUCAGCAGUGAGGAUGAUGUUUCACUGAAUGACAUCAUGGACAUUAAGGCAGUGGAGCCCCUGGGGCAGAUCCUGUCCUCAUGGAGGCUGGUCAACAGGAUCUUCAGGGGGAAGGUCCACUACUUUGGGAAGGAGCUCAUCUGCAAGGUGUAUCAGAUGCUUCUAGACAGCGGUAUGGGCAGGAGGCCAAUGGCCCGCCAGAGCAGGUCCGAGCCCAUCCUGAAAGACCUGGCUGCCAACCGUAGGCUCUCCAAUGAAUUCUUCACCGACGUGCUGUACAUGUUCAUCCAACGUGCCAUUAAGAAUCUGCUGGAGAACUUCUUGGGUCUGCCGACCACCCCACCAGGUAGAGACAUUAUGUGGAAUGACAAUUUCAACUGGAUGUAUAGGGACGGCUGGGGGAACACCCCCACAUCCAGCGAGGAGGAGUUGUGGGACAGCGACUCCACCUGGUCAAGUGGGCUUGGGGAGGAGGAGUUGGCAGAGUCCCGUGGGAGGUGGGCCGCUCUGUUGGAGAAGGGCAGACUCCAGACCCUCCAGUCCUCCGGCUCCCUCUCCCUCUCCGAUGACAACAAGGAGGCACUAGGGGCCGUCUGCCAGGUCCUGACCUCCAGGGUGGGAGACAUCCUGAACAGUACCUGCAACAACGAUUACAAGGCCAGGCUCAUCAUCCAGAAAGGAUUGGAUUCCGGUGCCAGGGAAAGGUUCCCUGACUCUCAAUGUCCCUCUUCACCCGAAGAAGAGGAGGUAGUAGUGAGUGCCAUGACUGUCUCAUACCCUAAACCCUCCACCUCAACCCAGGCAGCAUGGGCAGCUCCUGCCCAGACUCUGGAUGUUUUUCUGCCCAGACCCUGCCUGGAUGAAGAAGAGGUAGUGCCCAGCACCUCCAUGAAGGACAACUCUGUGACGACCACCCAUGCAGCACGGGCAGCUCCUUCCCAGACCCUGGAAGAAGAGGUGGGAGAAGCUGAGGUGUCCGACGUGAGUGACAGCUCCCUGAUGCCCACCAAGGCCCUUGAGAAGAUUCCCUCCCUCCUACCAGGCAAGAAUCUUAUUGAAGAGGACAUCCUCAUUUGCAGCACUCCCUGGGCCACCGUCAUAAGCCCCCAGACCCUGAAGUUUAUCCUCCACGGCAUCAUGUGCCGACUGGAGGCCUCAGAGUCCCCCCAGACAAGGAGGGCCAAUGACCCCUUCAGGCUGAUGAAGGAUCUCUUUCUGGAGGUCCGGCAUGCCCUUAAGUAUGCUAACAUCUCUGUCGUCUUUGGCCUGGAGGAGAGCAUCCAAUUCAUUGGGGAGGAUGCGGUGAAGGCCAUCGUGAAGACUGCAGCUCAAAGAUUGUCCCUGCGUUCGGACUCCAACCGGGCUCAACUGCGUGCCGCACGCUCUGGUGGCGAGGGAGCCAUCAGGUGCAUGGCGGACACCAUCACACAAGUCAUAGAUGACUAUUCCGAGGACUGGAGUUCCGACUGCCAUUUUGGAGCCAGGAGGAGCCGUGCUAGUGGGAGGUCACACUCCUCAACGUCCUCAAGGAGUGAUAUCACACUCACCGAGGAGCUCCUGGCCCGGAGGGAAACCCUUGAAGAGGACCUAGAGGAGAUGGCUGAUGACAGCACUGGUUUGGAGAAGACCAUUGUAAGCUCAGCCAUCUCUGAGAAGUCCCAGGAGAAGGAGAAGCAGAAGGAGAAGGAAGAGGCUAUUAAGGAAGAAGUGAGGAAGUCAGGAAAGAAGAAGCGAGGUAAUAACAAGGACCAGAAGAAGAACAAGGUGUCUCCUCUUGGCAAUGAUAGUACUAUGGCUGCAGAUGAGCCGAAGAAAAAACAGGCUCUCUUCCCGCGGAUCACAGCUGCCCUGGCAAAACUAUUUUGCUUCCCCUGCAAAAAAAGAUGCAAAAAGUAACUAUGCAGAGACGGGUUUUGGAAACCCUGAUGCCACCUCCCCCAACCCACUUUCUAAAAAAACAUCAGAGCCAUCAGAAGAGGGAGACAACCCCGCUACUCACAACCCAUUUUAUUACCCCCCCAUUUUAACUUAAUAAACACAACUUGCAGCUAUUUUGAUCUUCUUUUUUACUUUUUUUUACAGACCCACCUGCAUGCUAUAGAUUCUUAAGGUCAAUUUGCUGUGUACUGUCUACAGUAUCAUUGUAAUGAGUAUGUUCACUGUGCCAGUCAUUAUUUUUAUGUGUACCUUUAUUUAACUAGGCAAGUCAGUUUAGAACAAAUUCUUAUUUUCAAUGAUGACCUAGGAACAUUGGGUUAACUGCCUUGUUCAGGGGCAGAACGACAGAUUUUUUAGGCUACCUGUCGCUAUAUAGGUAUAGGCUAAAUGCCCUAACCUAAUUGCAAUUUACAUAAUAAGAGUCACAUUUGAAUAAUUCCCGCAUUUUAUCUUUCUUGAGAGGGAAUACAUCUCUAAUACACUAUGCUCAAUACCAUACAGUAAGCACACCACUGUAUGCCGAUGACACCUGCAAGCCCCGCCUCCCCGCAGAAUAAAGAAUAGACAUGAGUGGAUAAUUGCGGUGUCACUACAAAGGAUACCUUAAUUAAGCCAAUUCAUUGGCUUUAGACAUGUCAAUCAUGUCUGUGUUGUAAUCUGAUUGGUGUGUCUGUACCACCUCAAGGCAAAAGGUGUAGAAACUCUGAAGCACUCCAUUCUGUUUAUGAUUUCUACUUAUGAUUGACGCUGCUGUUUAAAGCAAUUUUUAUGUCUGCCUUAUUUGUAUUAUUACAUAGUUGGGGAGGACAGGGGAGAAAGGGUGGACAGCGCCCCGUCUAGUAGUUGUAGCUGGUUAUAGGUCUUCUUGAGGAAGCGCCGACAGACGGACAGCUGUGCGAGUUCGCAUUUUCUAAUAAAACAGCAGCACGAGCGAUGGCUUCGGCGUAGCAUUUCGUACUGUAUUUUUAAUAAAGCGGUGAAGUCGACAUUGUGAAGGUUUUAUUCUGUGCUAGUUUCGUGGUGUCCGUGUGUUGGCAUGACAUAGCAGCUACGAGCAAGAGCCGAUUCGAUUAUGGGAACAUUCAGGUUUGAGGAACCCUGAUCCGAUUGGCUCCGGCACCGCCCUACCAGGUGACCCUACAGCGGGGGAGACAGGUAAGGAGACCCAGCCACAGCCUCCCCUGUCCAACAGUGCGUUGCACUGUGCCCACCACCACAACCAU
Molecule: RNA transcript, 8981 nt
Organism: Salvelinus fontinalis (brook trout)
Lineage: Eukaryota; Metazoa; Chordata; Actinopteri; Salmoniformes; Salmonidae
Gene name: EVI5-like protein
Exons: 15
Source: RefSeq, a predicted model, not a curated record